UGAAGUAACUGUCUGUACUCUGUUUAGGUUUUUGGGAGCAUAAAUGAAUAGCCUACGCGCUGACAAGGAUACAUAACACUGUCUGUAUCCGUAGGCUACUAGCUACAGCUUUUGUGUUCACUAGUGCCGCCCUGAGCUUCUCACAUGGGCAGCACCUGGUUCCUUUGCUACGUUGUUCAUGGCUAUCGUGCUUAGGAACAACUCCAGUCAAUGCAAACUGGUGGCAAGUUGUUAGAAGCAACAUGUGGUCGUGAAUUUGCCGAUUUCUCUUAUUUCUAGGCCUUGUUUAGUUCCCAGAAAAUUUUGCAAAAUUUUUCACAUUCCCCGUCACAUCAAAUCUUUAGACGCAUGCAUGAAGUAUUAAAUAUAGAUGAAAAUAAAAACUAAUUGCACAGUUUGGUCAAAAUUGACGAGACGAAUCUUUUGAGCCUAGUUAGUAUAUAAUUAGAUAAUAUUUGUCAAAUACAAACGAAAGUGCUACAGUGUCGAUUUUCCAAAAUUUUUCGGAACUAAACAAGGCCUAAGUACAUGUGUGGUGUGAGAGGACCAACGUCCCUAUGCACAAGACCUAAGGUGCGUUUGGUAGGGAUCCAGAUUCUCAUAUAAACAUUUUGGAGAUCUAGAUUAUGUUUGGAAACAUUGUGGGUGACGAAUGAGAAUCACUUUAUGAAACUAUUUGGAUGUUAGCCUGGAUUCAGAGUCCUAGAAGAGUUUUUUUUUUGUUAAAAAAAAUCAUAUAAAUGAACUAUGCUUCAAAAAAAAUUAAAAAAAAUUCAUGACUGAAGAACAACUUAAAUACAACCUAUUUUAACCUGCUGCACUAAAAGAAGUUAUAAUUAAAAAACUAUACUUAUUAGUACAUAGUAGCAAAAGUAGAAUCCAUGCAAAACUAGCCUUCCAGUGCUUAGAGUUCCAAAGAAGGAAUCAUGAAACGUUUCAUCUUAGCGCAUUUGGCACAGAUUCUACUGUUUCUUGCUACAAUCUGAACUAAUUUAGUCUUCCAGACGGCCCCUAAGAGGCAAUCACGUGGUGUCGCUAAGUGUGUGUACCAACUAAGAGCACAUUUAGACAUGUAACUCAUGUAUGUGUUCUGAGAGCUCUGCCAAACAGAACACUAUGUACAACAACACAAAUGACCUAAGCUUAAUUAGAGGAAAUUCUUUAUUGUAAUCUUAACCAGCGUUGAGAUUCUUGAUGUAUGAUGGGCCGGGUGGUGGAGACAUUACUGAACCAAUUCGGCUGAGAUUCUUGAAAACUUAAAUGAAGAGCCUAGUGAAACCAAAAUUAUAGCUGGACAGGACAUGAACGCUACGUCCUGUAGUUAGAGAAUCUCCAAUAUGCCUACGAAUCAAACUGUGAAUGUAAAAGUGUAAUCCGUGGACAGAAAGACACUAAGGACCAGGGGCAGAUUUGGGCCUCGGGCCACUAGGGCCACGGCUCUAGGCAUGGUCCCUUAUAAUAUGUGUAGUUUUUUGACCUGGCCCU
This 1485-nucleotide long non-coding RNA is filed under the name Sorghum bicolor (sorghum). Its description in RNAcentral is "long non-coding RNA (SBIC_LNC014761)". The record is from RNAcentral. Lineage: Eukaryota; Viridiplantae; Streptophyta; Magnoliopsida; Poales; Poaceae.